This is an RNA transcript of Hevea brasiliensis (rubber tree), 4446 nucleotides long. RefSeq lists it as uncharacterized. The record is from RefSeq and is a predicted model, not a curated record. The transcript is spliced from 8 exons. NCBI's taxonomy places the organism in Eukaryota, Viridiplantae, Streptophyta, Magnoliopsida, Malpighiales, Euphorbiaceae.
UUCCACAGUACACGAAUCAGAAAAUCACCUUUGAAUUUGAUUGCGUGCUUGACACAGAUAGAAUCGUAAGCCUAACUCAUUGAUUCUUCACCUUCCUAUUUUGGCCAACUUUCUACAAAACCCUAAUCGUUUUGCCUCCCAAAACGAUGCGUUUGUUUGCCAAAUUCAAUACAAUUCCAUAACCAUGAAGCUCUAGUUUUCAUUUCAAUGGACUCUUAUCGACUCCUCUCCUGUUAUCAGUAUUAUCAAUAACGACAACAACUGAAGCUUUGGUGAUUCAUAUUCACGCUCCAUGGAAGCUCGUAGAGGUUGGCGUGCCGUUCCCAAGGUCCGCCAGGUCGGAUUCUUCACUCCCAAUGAGCCACCGCCGCCUGCUCGGACUCAGUCUGGGCCGCCUGACUCUAACUCGCCGCCGCUUUCCAAUUCUCCUGCGGGCAACUCCUUAUCUCCAGUUAUGAUCCCCCCGCCACGUCACCUCUCUGAUAACCUUGCUCAUCGCGCCACUUCGCCACUCCCUGUCCCAGAGACAUCGGCCUUCCGCCGACCUAUCCCCGGCGGCGACCGUGUGGCGGUGGUGGGCAGCUACAACCCGACCGAUUCGAUGCUUGGAGCGUCGCCGCCGCUGACCUCGCCUUCAAGUAGGAUCGGCGAUGGAGAAUUUUCGGAGGAAUCGUCUCCUGGUUGGUUUCGCAGGAGCAACUCUGCUAAGUUCGCCUCGAGUUUCCCUGGUGGUGGAUUCGAUUUGACGUCGAUAAAGUCAUCGGAGACUUUGGAAGUUGAAGUGAAAAAGCCUGUUGAAGUACCUGGACCAAAUAUUGCAGAAAAAAGUGGAGUGGCUGGUGCAGAGCUGCAAACUGAAUCACAAUCAAGUUCAAAGCCAUUGAAAGCUAAAACAACAAAGGCUGAAAGACGUGCCUUGCAGGAAUCCCAACGAGCUGCCAAAGCUGCUGCAAAAGGAGAAGCCACCGGUAAACCUGCUAUCUCAUCUGAGGGAGCAGCGACCAGUAAACCUGUGAAGCAGCAACCAUCACGAAAGAAAGAUGCUCUUCCUGCUGCAACAUCAGUUGCAGCUUCUGACAGGAAAGGAGUAGAUCGUCCACCAGAGAAAGAGAGGAAGAAAGAAGUCCCUCCUCCACGCAUGCAAUUUGAUGAUAAAAAUCGAGUGGAAAAGGCUAAAAAGCGUGCAGUGGUCAAUCAAACUGAAGCUAGGAAUAGGGUUGAGUUGUUCCGACACUUGCCUCAGUAUGAGCGUGGAAGCCAGCUUCCUGAUCUUGAGUCAAAAUUUUUCCUACUUGAUCCAAUGCAUCCUGCUGUUUACAAGGUUGGAUUACAGUAUUUGGCGGGAGAUAUCUCUGGAGGUAAUGCUCGUUGUAUUGCAAUGCUACAGGCAUUUCAGGAAGUCAUUAAAGACUACUCCACACCACCAGAAAAAUCUCUUACCAGGGAUUUAACGGCAAAAGUUGGUAGUUAUGUUUCCUUUUUGAUUGAAUGCCGACCACUUUCUAUGAGUAUGGGAAAUGCAAUUAGGUUUUUGAAGAAUCGUAUUGCAAAGCUGCCUUUAAGUCUUUCUGAAUCAGAAGCAAAAGAAUCCCUUUGUUCAGAUAUCAAUCGUUUCAUAAAUGAGAAGAUAGUACUUGCUGACAAGGUGAUAGUUAGACAUGCUGCUUCAAAAGUCAGGGACGGGGAUGUUCUUCUUACGUAUGGAUCAUCAUGUGUUGUUGAGAUGAUUCUGUUAUAUGCCCAUGAGCUUGGGAAACAGUUCAGGGUUGUGAUAGUGGACUCACGCCCUAAACUUGAAGGCCAAGCUUUACUUCGUAGGCUGGUGGCAAAGGGCCUGAAUUGUACAUAUACUCACAUAAAUGCAGUUUCUUAUAUCAUGCAUGAAGUCACUAGAGUAUUUCUUGGGGCUUCCUCAGUAUUGUCCAAUGGAACUGUUUAUUCGAGGGUUGGAACUGCAUGUGUUGCUAUGGUUGCUCAUGCAUUCCGUGUUCCAGUGUUAAUAUGCUGUGAAGCAUAUAAGUUUCAUGAAAGGGUUCAACUGGAUUCAAUAUGCUCCAAUGAACUAGGUGAUCCAGAUGCCAUUGCAAAGGCUUCUGGAAGAAUGGAUGUAAAUUACGUGGAUAAUCUGGCUAAUAAAGAAAAUCUUCAGCUUUUAAAUUUGAUGUAUGAUGCCACUCCUUUAGAAUAUAUCUCUAUGAUUGUCACCGAUUAUGGCAUGAUGAACUUGAAGCUGCUUGCAAUAUUAAGGGGCUUAAUUGCACCAACUGUCCCUAAACUUAGGGGAUUAAUUCAUUUCCGUCCUUGAACUUUAAUUUCUUAAAAUAAAAUCGUUCAAUUUUAAUUUUAUUUCAAAAAAGUCACUGUUACCUGCAAUAACAAGUUUAAUGGUUAAAAGAUAUAAAAUUACUAUUUUAUCCAUCUCUCAAAGAAAAUUACUAGUUUGCCCCCUUCUCUUUUUUUCUCUCUCUUAACUUCACUUUUUUUUUUUAAAUAAGCUAAAAAAAUUAAUUAAAAUUACUAAGAGAAUAAUAAGAACAAGUCGCAAAAGAACCUAGGAUAGAGAACCAAAAGAGAACAGCCAAGUAACCCAAAAUAGGAACAAGCAAAAAAAAAAAAAAACCAGAAUACCCCAUAAAGAAAACAAAAAUAAAAAGAAACUAUAACAAGUUAAUAGAAAAGAACCCCACCAAGAGAAAAAAACUAGCAACUAAAAUCCACAAGCCAUUAAAAUUACCACAAAAUCAAGCCAGAGCUGCAAGAUCAAGCAAAGUGAAGCAGAGAUAAUGAUAUGGAGAACACACAGUCUCAGGAAGUAGAAGAAAUAUUUGCAACAAGCUAACACCUAAGACCUCUUUGCACAGAAAUAAUGAAGAAAAUUGCGUGAAGAGGGGUGCGGGGGCUGAGAGUGUGAAUGACGAAAACCAGAAGACUAACAUUCAACGAAGCCAAAUACCAACAGCAAUGUAAAAAUACAUGAAGUAGCAACACACAUGAGAGAGAGAGAGAGAGAGAGAGAGAGAGAGAGAGAGAAGAGCCAAAUCUCAACUUCAAUGGAAGAGCAAUAAGGCUACAAAAAGCAAGCAAGGGUUGCAAUACUUCCCUGAUAGAACCAACAAAUAAACCAAUUUAAGCAAGAAUGAGAAAACUCAAUCCUCAAUGGAAAAACUAGAACCUCUAAAACUCAAACAAGAACCUCUUAUCUGGUGAUUAUCUCUCUCCAAUACUCUUUCCAUCUCUUUCUUUGGAUCUCAUUGUUUCUCUUCUUCCUCUUCUCUAUGAAAUAUAAAGCAAGGAAAAGUGGGUCAGAUGAAAUUGAUAUAGGUGUUGCAUUAUAGAGGAGCAAGCCUAGCACUCUUCCUCAAUCCUUAAUCUGUCAAUUAUACAAUUACUGAUUUUGUCAUUUCAUUCCCUCUUCUACAAGUUGAAGAUUGUGAAUUGUGAUUUAACAAUUUUUAGUACCCGUUAUUAAGCAAAUCCCACACAUACAGAAACAAAGCUUGGAUUAUUCAAUAUGUAAUCAAUCACGAUUAUAAUAUACAAAACAAAGCCAAAUGAAUUAAUAAGAGUACCUAAUGCGAUAAUAGUAACCUUGCAGAAGGCAAACAACUAUGAACCAAGCGCACCAGAUCUAAGUGAAUAGCCCUCAAUGAUUUUGUAAACUUGGUGGACCCUAGCACCAUCCAUGAACCUAAUAUAGUCCCAAGCUCCAACAUGCCAAAAUGAGGCUCUACUACUGGCUGCCCACGGCACACCUCUAAAAUGUGCAGGUGGUCGGCUGCCCAGCGGUGUUGUGGUUAGGAUGUCUUAGCUGUAGGUGAUGUGGUUUUGGAGUGGGAUCCAGGACCAGUGAUGCCACGAGGAGAAGCUUGCCGGUGUCUAGCGUCAACCCUACCUCUCCACAGGCAACGCAGAGUGACGCUAUGCAAUGAGGGCUAGGCAAACUGGCCAUUGCACUAAUUGCAGGACUGGUUCCUGCAUGAAUCAGGAGCUCUAGGAGGUUGCAGAUCCCACCAACAAGUGUCCCUGUUAUUGUGCGGGAGUAUCGGAGGGAGCACUUGUGGAUAUAGUUUUGCAUGGACAUUAUUAUUGGGCUAGUAAGGGAUUUCAUGUUGAGUUUCAGUUAAGGAACCAAGCUCACAGUUGUGGAAUUGAACACGAGAUGAUAACAAGACCUAUAAAUUCUACAGCAUUUAGUUGUGAUAUGGGCUUUGCCCAUAUGAUGAUUUUGUGCCUUGUCAAAUUUACUUUGUAUUAUUUGUUUUUCUUAGUAAUUGUGUAGAAAGGUUGCGUUUUGUUGCCUCUCAUGACAGUUUUGAUUUUGGAGGUGGUUAUAUUUGUAACAAAAAUUUCCCCCUUUGCUUUUUUACCCAUCAUCAAUAUUGAAUUUCAACAACCACAUGAAGGAAACACCCUUUAGAGGGGACAACUACCCAGGAAGUCCUUGAA